This 447-nucleotide ribosomal RNA is filed under the name uncultured bacterium. RNAcentral's name for it is "SSU rRNA". It matches the Rfam family "Bacterial small subunit ribosomal RNA", at positions 27 to 518 of the family's 1533-position model. The record is from RNAcentral.
GGAACGAACGCUGGCGGCAGGCCUCAAACAUGCAAGUCUAGGGGGUGUAGCAAUACAUCACCGGCGGACGGGUGCGUAACGCGUGGGAAUAUACCUAUUGGUUCGGAACAACUGAGGGAAACUUCAGCUAAUACCGAAUGUGUCCUAACGGAGAAAGAUUUAUCGCCAAUAGAUUAGCCCGCGUUCGAUUAGCUAGUUGGUGGGGUAAUGGCUCACCAAGGCGACGAUCGAUAGCUGCUCUGAGAGGAAGAUCAGCCACACUGGGACUGAGACACGGCCCAGACUCCUACGGGAGGCAGCAGUUGGGAAUCUUGGACAAUGGGGGAAACCCUGAUCCAGCCAUGCCGCGUGAGUGAUGAAGGCCUUCGGGCUGUAAAACUCUUUCGCGCACGACGAUAAUGACGGUAGUGCGAGAGAAGCUCCGGCUAACUUCGUGCCAGCAGCCGC